CAUUCGACUUUCCGCCCUAUCAACUUUGGAUGGUAGUGUAGUGGACCACCAUGGUUGUAACGGGUGACGGGGAAUUAGGGUUCGAUUCCGGAGAGGGAGCCUGAGAGAUGGCUACUACUUCCAAGGAAGGCAGCAGGCGCGCAAAUUACCCUAAUGGUCAAAGACCGAGGUAGUGACAAUAAAUAUCGAUGUUGGUGAUUCGUCAUUGACAAUCGGAAUGAACUGAAGUUAAAUCUCUCUAUGAGUACCAAUUGGAGGGCAAGUCUGGUGCCAGCAGCCGCGGUAAUUCCAGCUCCAAGAGCGUAUAUUCAACUUGCUGCAGUUAAAAAGCUCGUAGUCGGAUUUCAGUAUUUUUGAUUGGGGUGUGUGACGCAAGUUACACGCUUCUUUCAUGGUACUAUCAUGUUUGUGUUGCUUCCUGUCCUUCACUGGGUGGGUUAUUUACCUUACAUCGUUGACCGUGCUUUAAUUCGCGUGUUCAAAGCAGGCUUUUACGCCUUGAAGAGUAUAGCAUGGGAUCAUGAAAUAUGACCCUGCCUCACGUUGGUUGACUUUGGAGGCAGGGUAAUGAUAAAUAGGGGUGGUCGGGGGUGUACGGAUUCCGUGGCGAGAGGUGAAAUUCUUGGACCCACGGAGGACGAACUAAAGCGAAAGCAUUCACCAAGGACAUACCCAUUGAUCAAGAACGAAAGAUAGGGGAUCGAAGAUGAUCAGAGACCGUUGUAGUCCUAUCCCUAAACGAUACCGACCGAGGAUCGGAGGGUGUCCAUUUGUGCGACCUCUUCGGGACUCUGUGGAAAACCAUUGAGUCUUUGGGUUCCGGGGGGAGUACGGUCGCAAGGCUGAAACUUAAAGGAAUUGACGGAAGGGCACACCAGGAGUGGAUCCUGCGGCUUAAUUCGACCCAACACGGGAAAACUCACCAGGUCCGACAUAACAAGGAUUGACAGAUCGAUAGCUCUUUCUUGAUUUUAUGAGUGGUGGUGCAUGGCCGUUCUUAGUUGGUGGAGUGAUUUGUCUGGUUGAUUCCGAUAACGAACGAGACCUCAACCUGCUAAAUAGGAAAAAUGAUGGGGGAAUCAUGGGUGAAGGGGGGGACGUAGAAUGGCUUCGGUUGUUCUCAUCCUUUUUGGAUCCUUUUUCCAUCGUUUUCGCCUUCUUAGAGGGACUGACUGCUUUACAAGCAGUAGGAAGCUUGAGGCAAUAACAGGUCUGUGAUGCCCUUGGAUGUUCUGGGCUGCACGCGCGCUACACUGACUGAAGCAGAAAGUUUAUCCUUGGCCUUUAGGUCUGGGUAAUCUUAUUAAAUUCAGUCGUGAUGGGGACAGAGCUUUGAAAUUAUGGCUCUCGAACGAGGAAUUCCUAGUAAGUGCAAUUCAUCAAAUUGCGCUGAUUACGUCCCUGCCCUUUGUACACACCGCCCGUCGCUCCUACCGAUUGAACGAUCCGGUGAAGUAUUGAGAGAGAU
RNAcentral lists this ribosomal RNA (1468 nucleotides) under metagenome. Its description in RNAcentral is "SSU rRNA". It matches the Rfam family "Eukaryotic small subunit ribosomal RNA", at positions 296 to 1719 of the family's 1831-position model. The record is from RNAcentral.